Molecule: long non-coding RNA, 198 nt
Organism: Ornithodoros turicata
Lineage: Eukaryota; Metazoa; Arthropoda; Arachnida; Ixodida; Argasidae
Exons: 3
Source: RefSeq, a predicted model, not a curated record
UUCCAGUGUUGAAGUGGCGCAAGACUGCUUCGUAUGUGUGAUCCAGGCACUCAAGUUGACAUGACAGAAAUAACUGAAAGCAGUCUUUGGACAGGUGCAGAACAUUAGUAUGACGUCAACAAGAGGAGAAGAAACCGAUGAGAACUACUAGCAUGUUUGAAGGAGAUGCAUCCUCUACACUUGAAUACCCAGUGCAAC